UCUCCGUUGGUGAGCCAGCGGAGGGAUCAUUACAGGACUCGCAAGACUCCUACAACCCUUUUAACUUAACUAUACGCACGUUUCUUCUGCGGGUGUCUCGGAUCGGGUUCUCCCUCCCCGAGACGCUACACCCGCCGGCCGCUUACUAUACUCUUUCUCUUUGCGUUUGCAUCUCGAGUACAAUCAAACAAGUUAAAACUUUCAACAACGGAUCUCUUGGUUCUG
Molecule: unclassified non-coding RNA, 225 nt
Filed under: plant metagenome
Description: partial contains small subunit ribosomal RNA, internal transcribed spacer 1, and 5.8S ribosomal RNA
Source: RNAcentral